This 253-nucleotide ribosomal RNA is filed under the name uncultured bacterium. RNAcentral's name for it is "partial 16S ribosomal RNA". It matches the Rfam family "Bacterial small subunit ribosomal RNA", at positions 524 to 776 of the family's 1533-position model. The record is from RNAcentral.
UACGAAGGGGGCUAGCGUUGCUCGGAAUCACUGGGCUUAAAGCGCACGUAGGCGGCUUUUUAAGUCAGGGGUGAAAUCCUGGAGCUCAACUCCAGAACUGCCUUUGAUACUGAGAAGCUUGAGUCCGGGAGAGGUGAGUGGAACUGCGAGUGUAGAGGUGAAAUUCGUAGAUAUUCGCAAGAACACCAGUGGCGAAGGCGGCUCACUGGCCCGGUACUGACGCUGAGACGCGAAAGCGUGGGGAGCGAACCGG